RNAcentral lists this ribosomal RNA (253 nucleotides) under uncultured bacterium. RNAcentral's name for it is "partial 16S ribosomal RNA". It matches the Rfam family "Bacterial small subunit ribosomal RNA", at positions 524 to 776 of the family's 1533-position model. The record is from RNAcentral.
UACGGAGGGAGCUAGCGUUGUUCGGAAUUACUGGGCGUAAAGCGCACGUAGGCGGCUUUGUAAGUUAGAGGUGAAAGCCCGGAGCUCAACUCCGGAACUGCCUUUAAGACUGCAUCGCUUGAAUCCAGGAGAGGUGAGUGGAAUUCCGAGUGUAGAGGUGAAAUUCGUAGAUAUUCGCAAGAACACCAGUGGCGAAGGCGGCUCACUGGUCCGGUACUGACGCUGAGGUGCGAAAGCGUGGGGAGCAAACAGG